CCUACGGGCGGCAGCAGUAGGGAAUUUUCGGCAAUGGGGGGAACCCUGACCGAGUAACGCCGCGUGCACGAAGACGUCACUCCUAGUGUUAAGCUCCUUUAACAGGGAAGUAAGAGAAAUUUGAUGGUACCUGUAGAGUAUGCCCCGGCUAACCACGUGCCAGCAGCCGCGGUAACACGUAGGGAGCGAGCGUUAUCCGGAAUGAUGGGGUGAAAGGGGUGCGUAGAUGGCAUAGUAGUUCGUGUGUAAAAAUGCGGGGCUAAACCCAGUAGGGCAAAAGAUACUGGAAAGCUAGAGUAUGAAGAGGGCAAGUGGAAUUACAUGUGUAGCGGUGAAAUGCGUAGAUAUAUGUAAGAACACCAGUGGCGAAGGCAGCUUGCUGGGGCGAAACUGACGUUGAGGCACGAAAGCGUGGGUAUCAAACAGGAUUAGAUACCCGGGUAGUC
Molecule: ribosomal RNA, 446 nt
Filed under: uncultured bacterium
Lineage: Bacteria
Description: partial 16S ribosomal RNA
Rfam family: Bacterial small subunit ribosomal RNA
Source: RNAcentral